Molecule: ribosomal RNA, 427 nt
Filed under: uncultured bacterium
Lineage: Bacteria
Description: bacterial SSU rRNA
Rfam family: Bacterial small subunit ribosomal RNA
Source: RNAcentral
UGGGGAAUUUUGGACAAUGGACGCAUGUCUGAUCCAGCCAUGCCGCGUGCGGGAAGAAGGCCUUCGGGUUGUAAACCGCUUUUGUCAGGGAAGAAACGAGUUUCUCUAAUACAGAGACUUAAUGACGGUACCUGAAGAAUAAGCACCGGCUAACUACGUGCCAGCAGCCGCGGUAAUACGUAGGGUGCAAGCGUUAAUCGGAAUUACUGGGCGUAAAGCGUGCGCAGGCGGUUAUGCAAGACAGAUGUGAAAUCCCCGGGCUCAACCUGGGAACUGCAUUUGUGACUGUAUAGCUAGAGUACGGCAGAGGGGGAUGGAAUUCCGCGUGUAGCAGUGAAAUGCGUAGAUAUGCGGAGGAACACCGAUGGCGAAGGCAAUCCCCUGGGCCUGUACUGACGCUCAUGCACGAAAGCGUGGGGAGCAAACA